CAGCCGCCACGGUAAUACGAAGGGUGCAAGCGUUAAUCGGAAUUACUGGGCGUAAAGCGCGCGUAGGUGGUUUGGUAAGAUGGAUGUGAAAUCCCCGGGCUCAACCUGGGAACUGCAUCCAUAACUGCCUGACUAGAGUACGGUAGAGGGUGGUGGAAUUUCCUGUGUAGCGGUGAAAUGCGUAGAUAUAGGAAGGAACACCAGUGGCGAAGGCGACCACCUGGACUGAUACUGACACUGAGGUGCGAAAGCGUGGGGAGCAAACAGGAUUAGAUACCCGCGUAGUCCCUGUCUCUUAUAC
This 301-nucleotide ribosomal RNA is filed under the name uncultured bacterium. Its description in RNAcentral is "partial 16S ribosomal RNA". It matches the Rfam family "Bacterial small subunit ribosomal RNA", at positions 509 to 807 of the family's 1533-position model. The record is from RNAcentral.